CCUGGCGGAGGCCACUGCUAUCGGAGUUCGAUUAAGCCAUGCGAGUCGAGAGGUGCAAGACCUCGGCAUACUGCUCAGUAACACGUGGACAACCUACCCUAAGGAGGGGGAUAACCCCGGGAAACUGGGGAUAAUACCCCAUAGACUAUGGAAGCUGGAAUGCUCUGUAGCCGAAAGGUCCGCCGCCUUAGGAUGGGUCUGCGGCCGAUUAGGUUGUUGUUGGGGUAACGGCCCAACAAGCCUGUAAUCGGUACGGGUUGUGGGAGCAAGAGCCCGGAGAUGGAUUCUGAGACACGAAUCCAGGCCCUACGGGGCGCAGCAGGCGCGAAAACUUUACAAUGCGGGAAACCGUGAUAAGGGAACUCCGAGUGCCCGUUAAAUCGGGCUGUCCAUCAGUUUAAAUAACUGGUGAAGAAAGGGCCGGGCAAGACCGGUGCCAGCCGCCGCGGUAAUACCGGCGGCUCGAGUGGUGGCCACUAUUACUGGGCUUAAAGCGUUCGUAGCUGGUCUGUUAAGUCUCUGGGGAAAUCUACCGGCUUAACCGGUAGGCGUCUCAGGGAUACUGGCAGACUAGGGACCGGGAGAGGUGAGGGGUACUCCAGGGGUAGGAGUGAAAUCCUGUAAUCCUUGGGGGACCACCUGUGGCGAAGGCGCCUCACCGGAACGGCUCCGACAGUGAGGGACGAAAGCUGGGGGAGCAAACCGGAUUAGAUACCCGGGUAGUCCCAGCUGUAAACGAUGCGCGUUAGGUGUAUCGGUGACCACGAGUCACCGAGGUGCCGAAGAGAAAUCGUGAAACGUGCCGCCUGGGAAGUACGGUCGCAAGGCUGAAACUUAAAGGAAUUGGCGGGGGAGCACCACAACGGGUGGAGCCUGCGGUUUAAUCGGACUCAACGCCGGAAAACUCACCGGACAAGACAGCUGAAUGAUAGUCGGGCUGAAGACUCUACUUGACUAGCUGAGAGGAGGUGCAUGGCCGUCGUCAGUUCGUACUGUGAAGCAUCCUGUUAAGUCAGGCAACGAGCGAGACCCA
RNAcentral lists this ribosomal RNA (1033 nucleotides) under uncultured archaeon. RNAcentral's name for it is "bacterial SSU rRNA". It matches the Rfam family "Archaeal small subunit ribosomal RNA", at positions 13 to 1054 of the family's 1478-position model. The record is from RNAcentral.